UGGCAGUGUACUGUUAGUUAGCUGUUAUCCAUAUUCCAGCAACUAAAUACACUUCCACA
This 59-nucleotide microRNA precursor is filed under the name Gekko japonicus. RNAcentral describes it as "Gja-Mir-34-P3d_pre stem-loop". Lineage: Eukaryota; Metazoa; Chordata; Lepidosauria; Squamata; Gekkonidae. The record is from RNAcentral.